GUAGGUAAUUAGUAGUAGUUAUGGAGAGUGUGGUGACUUCUGAUGAUCAUUUUGUUGGAACCUAGCGGAGGAAGCACACGUGAAAGUUACACUGCAAGUUGCAUGAGCCAAAGUAGUAUACUGAUGGAUUGGCCUAGAAAGGAAAAUAGGCAGAUGAGCCAAUAGAGAACAAACACAUUCGCUAUCGACAGCUUUCAUCCACCUACAACA
This 210-nucleotide unclassified non-coding RNA is filed under the name Hevea brasiliensis (rubber tree). The record is from RNAcentral. Lineage: Eukaryota; Viridiplantae; Streptophyta; Magnoliopsida; Malpighiales; Euphorbiaceae.